GGGGGCGAAAGGUUUCGACCGGGCGCUGGAAGUGAUCGGCUGCGUGUCGUGGUUGAUCAGCGGGCCACGUAAAAAGCUGAUCGCACCAACCUGCCGAACCGCAGGUUUCUCUCGCGGCUUAAUGCAGCCCGCGACCGCCUUUGCUCCUCGCCUGAGGGAGUAAACAGCGGCUGGCAAUUCAGGCUCGCGAUCGUUUGAGGACUGGUUCAGUCACCAGUUCGAUGCGGGGGCGACGAUCGCUAAACUCUCUGCCCGCUAGCGACCUCAUGAUCCUGUUCGUCGGAGCAUGAGGGAGCGAACACGGAGGGAAGCCUUACGGACAGCCUUCCGAAAGAAGACGAACUACACACGUAGAUGCCGUCAUGGACACGCUCCGGGACGCGGGUUCAAUUCCCGCCGCCUCCACUG
This 408-nucleotide transfer-messenger RNA is filed under the name Bacillota bacterium. RNAcentral describes it as "Firmicutes bacterium (sediment metagenome) transfer-messenger RNA". It matches the Rfam family "transfer-messenger RNA". Rfam says of the family: Bacterial tmRNA, also known as 10Sa RNA or SsrA, is named for its dual tRNA and mRNA-like properties. Its role is to liberate the mRNA from a stalled ribosome. The record is from RNAcentral. Lineage: Bacteria; Bacillati; Bacillota. RNAcentral also lists the same sequence under 4 other names.